This 301-nucleotide ribosomal RNA is filed under the name uncultured bacterium. RNAcentral describes it as "partial 16S ribosomal RNA". It matches the Rfam family "Bacterial small subunit ribosomal RNA", at positions 509 to 807 of the family's 1533-position model. The record is from RNAcentral.
CAGCAGCCGCGGUAAUACGUAGGGGGCAAGCGUUGUCCGGAAUCAUUGGGCGUAAAGCGCGUGUAGGCGGCUCGAUAAGUCUGCUGUGAAAGUCCAGGGCUCAACCCUGGAAUGCCGGUGGAAACUGUCGAGCUCGAGUCCGGAAGAGGCAAGUGGAAUUCCUGGUGUAGCGGUGAAAUGCGCAGAUAUCAGGAGGAACACCAAUGGCGAAGGCAGCUUGCUGGGACGGUACUGACGCUGAGACGCGAAAGCGUGGGGAGCAAACAGGAUUAGAUACCCGCGUAGUCCCUGUCUCUUAUAC